CGGGGCGUAGCGCAGUUUGGCUAGCGCGUCAGACUGGGGGUCUGAAAGUCGCAGGUUCGAGUCCUGUCGCCCCGA
This 75-nucleotide transfer RNA is filed under the name Planctomycetes bacterium GWF2_41_51. Its description in RNAcentral is "tRNA-Pro". It matches the Rfam family "tRNA". Rfam says of the family: Transfer RNA (tRNA) molecules are approximately 80 nucleotides in length. Their secondary structure includes four short double-helical elements and three loops (D, anti-codon, and T loops). Lineage: Bacteria; Pseudomonadati; Planctomycetota. RNAcentral also lists the same sequence under 1 other name. The record is from RNAcentral.